GACGAACGCUGGCGGCGUGCUUAACACAUGCGAGUCGUACGGUAAGGCCCUUUCGGGGGUACACGAGUGGCGCACGGGUGAGUAACACGUGAGUAACCUGCCCACAACUUUGGGAUAACGCUAGGAAACUGGUGCUAAUACUGGAUAUGUGCUCCUGCUGCAUGGUGGGGGUUGGAAAGCUCCGGCGGUUGUGGAUGGACUCGCGGCCUAUCAGCUUGUUGGUGGGGUAGUGGCCUACCAAGGCGGCGACGGGUAGCCGGCCUGAGAGGGUGACCGGCCACAUUGGGACUGAGAUACGGCCCAGACUCCUACGGGAGGCAGCAGUGGGGAAUAUUGCACAAUGGGCGCAAGCCUGAUGCAGCAACGCCGCGUGCGGGAUAACGGCCUUCGGGUUGUAAACCGCUUUCAGCAGGGACGAAGCUUUUUGUGACGGUACCUGCAGAAGAAGCACCGGCUAACUACGUG
RNAcentral lists this ribosomal RNA (465 nucleotides) under uncultured bacterium. RNAcentral's name for it is "partial 16S ribosomal RNA". It matches the Rfam family "Bacterial small subunit ribosomal RNA", at positions 28 to 507 of the family's 1533-position model. The record is from RNAcentral.